Molecule: ribosomal RNA, 399 nt
Filed under: uncultured bacterium
Lineage: Bacteria
Description: bacterial SSU rRNA
Rfam family: Bacterial small subunit ribosomal RNA
Source: RNAcentral
AAUCAACGCUGGCGGCGUGCUUAACACAUGCAAGUCGAACGCGGUUACUGCCUCUCCGCAAGGAGAGAUGGUGACUGAGUGGCGAACGGGUGAGUAACACGUGGGUGAUCUACCCUGAGUGGGGGAUAACGUUCCGAAAGGAACGCUAAUACCGCAUGACGUUCUGGGUUUGAAGACCUGGAAACCAAAGCUGGGGCCCUUAGGGCAACUUAAGGCCUGGCGCUUGGAGAGGAACCCGCGCCUGAUUAGCUAGUUGGUGAGGUUACGGCUCACCAAGGCGACGAUCAGUAGCCGGCCUGAGAGGGCGGACGGCCACACUGGGACUGAGACACGGCCCAGACUCCUACGGGAGCAGCAGUUAGGAAUCUUGGACAAUGGGCGCAAGCCUGAUCCAGCCAU